This 252-nucleotide ribosomal RNA is filed under the name uncultured bacterium. Its description in RNAcentral is "partial 16S ribosomal RNA". It matches the Rfam family "Bacterial small subunit ribosomal RNA", at positions 524 to 776 of the family's 1533-position model. The record is from RNAcentral.
CACGUAGGGCGCAAGCGUUGUCCGGAAUUAUUGGGCGUAAAGCGCGCGCAGGCGGUCUGUGAAGUCUGAUGUAUAAAUCUUAGGCUCAACUUAAGGUGGCAUUGGAAACUGGCGGACUGGAGUGUAGGAGAGGGAAGUGGAAUUCCACGUGUAGCGGUGAAAUGCGUAGAGAUGUGGAGGAACACCAGUGGCGAAGGCGACUUUCUGGCCUAUAACUGACGCUGAGGCGCGAAAGCGUGGGGAGCAAACAGG